UCCCUGGUAGCUCAGUUGGUAAAGAAUCUGCCUGCAGUGCAGGAGACCUGGGUUCGAUCUCCAGUCAGGAAG
RNAcentral lists this transfer RNA (72 nucleotides) under Bos taurus (domestic cattle). It matches the Rfam family "tRNA". Rfam says of the family: Transfer RNA (tRNA) molecules are approximately 80 nucleotides in length. Their secondary structure includes four short double-helical elements and three loops (D, anti-codon, and T loops). Lineage: Eukaryota; Metazoa; Chordata; Mammalia; Artiodactyla; Bovidae. The record is from Rfam by way of RNAcentral. RNAcentral also lists the same sequence under 3 other names.